Molecule: long non-coding RNA, 424 nt
Organism: Acipenser ruthenus (sterlet)
Lineage: Eukaryota; Metazoa; Chordata; Actinopteri; Acipenseriformes; Acipenseridae
Exons: 3
Source: RefSeq, a predicted model, not a curated record
UAGCCUUCGGAUAUGAUACAUGCAUUUGUUAAUUUAACCAGUCCUUCUUUUUUUCAUAGAACCGUGCCGGAACGCUACGGCCGGCAGGAUACAUUACACAUGAAGGGUUCUUAUUCUUGGCAUUGUUAUUCUACAUUUCUUGACCGUGCUAAUCUCAGAAUGCUUGGAUUUCUUUUGCUUGCUCCCACUGGACACAGUAAGCAGGCUGUGCAUUCACUGAUCAAAAAGAGACAAAUCAGUAAACAUCUUACCUGACUGCAAAACAAAAUGCUGAAAGAACAAACAUGAACCUUUGCUACAGCAGCCUUGGUGUAUCCGUGAGAAGAGCUGGGUUUACGGACACAGGCUGAGGCAUGUUCGCAUGGGUUCAACCGGCAUACAUCUACACAGUCUUUACCAAAGUAUCCUGGAGGCAAGAGUUAAC